RNAcentral lists this ribosomal RNA (497 nucleotides) under uncultured bacterium. Its description in RNAcentral is "partial 16S ribosomal RNA". It matches the Rfam family "Bacterial small subunit ribosomal RNA", at positions 28 to 507 of the family's 1533-position model. The record is from RNAcentral.
GAUGAACGCUGGCGGCGUGCCUAAUACAUGCAAGUCGAGCGAACAGACGAGGAGCUUGCUCCUCUGACGUUAGCGGCGGACGGGUGAGUAACACGUGGAUAACCUACCUAUAAGACUGGGAUAACUUCGGGAAACCGGAGCUAAUACCGGAUAAUAUAUUGAACCGCAUGGUUCAAUAGUGAAAGACGGUUUUGCUGUCACUUAUAGAUGGAUCCGCGCCGCAUUAGCUAGUUGGUAAGGUAACGGCUUACCAAGGCGACGAUGCGUAGCCGACCUGAGAGGGUGAUCGGCCACACUGGAACUGAGACACGGUCCAGACUCCUACGGGAGGCAGCAGUAGGGAAUCUUCCGCAAUGGGCGAAAGCCUGACGGAGCAACGCCGCGUGAGUGAUGAAGGGCUUCGGAUCGGAAAACUCUGUUAUUAGGGAAGAACAAAUUUGUAAGUAACUAUGCACGUCUUGACGGUACCUAAUCAGAAAGCCACGGCUAACUACGUG